This is a long non-coding RNA of Notolabrus celidotus (New Zealand spotty), 788 nucleotides long. RefSeq lists it as uncharacterized. The transcript is spliced from 2 exons. NCBI's taxonomy places the organism in Eukaryota, Metazoa, Chordata, Actinopteri, Labriformes, Labridae. The record is from RefSeq and is a predicted model, not a curated record.
UCAUUACCUAGUGUGUAUUUAGUCUCUGUGUGUUUAGUGUCUAUGUAGCGCUCUCUUUCUUUCAGUGCAGACACCUUAAAGACAUUAAAGGGUCAAAUAAAUGUCUUCUUUUUUUUACUGAGCUGUGACCAUACUCAAUGGAAAAUUCCAGUUCAAAACUGUACAUUAAUUUCUUACCCUCAGUGCGCAAGACUCCCAUGAAGGUUUUCCUGAAGCCCAUUUGUCUCCCGGCUAAAGAGUGCACCUGGAUCCUGGACUUCACACAGUCGAUAGGAUAGACCACCAUCCAGAGACAAGCUCCCCCAAAUCCACCACUGAACAUCAGAGGAAGAAUGCCUGCAAAGACCGAGAGUGUUUGUGAGGUUGGAUCCAUUUUACAAAAAUGUGUCAUUCAGCGACACUUCACCAGCUCGGUGGGGCAAAUGGCCAUGGCUGAGAAGAUGGAGGCCAAAGAGCCGGAGGAGGCCUUCUGGAGAUCACUGAUGAAGAGUAGCAGAACAAAAACACAAUGUAAGGUUUUCAGUGUGUAACAGAGGGCAGUCAGGAUGUUUACAUGUUCAGACAAUAACACGAAUCCUCUUCUAAAAUGAAUAAUAUCAGGAAACAAGUGUUCUCCUCACAUGACAUGUCAAUCUGUUUCUCUUUUACUUUCACCCACAAAGUGCAAAGUGAGAUCUUGGACCGUUGAAAUCAACACCUAGUUUGUGUUUACACUCUGAGGCGAGACAGCCCUCAUUUGGCUUCAGAAAAAUAAUGAUUUUACAUGAAAUAAAAGCAUGAAAGAUAAG